RNAcentral lists this ribosomal RNA (819 nucleotides) under Pseudorhizidium sp. JA028. RNAcentral's name for it is "eukaryotic LSU rRNA". It matches the Rfam family "Eukaryotic large subunit ribosomal RNA", at positions 107 to 858 of the family's 3401-position model. The record is from RNAcentral. Lineage: Eukaryota; Fungi; Chytridiomycota; Chytridiomycetes; Chytridiales.
GCUCAAUUUUGAAAUCUCUCAGGUUCCCUGAGCGAAUUGUAGUUUCUAGAAGCGCUUUCGGAGGCAGUCCGGGUAAAAGUCCGUUGGAACGCGGCAUCAUGGAGGGUGAGAAUCCCGUACCUGAUCCGGUGUCUGCUUCUGUGUGAUGCGUUUUCAAAGAGUCGGAUAGUUUGGGAUUGCUGUCCAAAAUGGGUGGUAAAUACCAUCUAAAGCUAAAUAUUGGCGAGAGACCGAUAGCGAACAAGUACCGUGAGGGAAAGAUGAAAAGAACUUUGAAAAGAGAGUUAAACAGUACGUGAAAUUGUCAAAAGGGAAACGCUUGAAACCAGUAUUGCGAUGCGCAAAUCAGUCGUUCCUUAGAACGGUGCACUUUGCGUUUUGCGGGUCAGCAUCAGUUUCGUUCGGAGUAAAAAACUCUUGGAAGGUAGUUCCUUGUGAAUGUUAUAGCCAAGAGUCAUGCUUUGAAUGGGACUGAGGUCUGCAGCUCUGCUUUUGGGAUGUUUUCAGCCCUCUGACGUUUGGUAACGAACAGCUUGCUGAUCGCUGCUAAGUUUAGGAGGCCCUGGAGGCUUACACAACUGAGCUUAGGAUGCUGACGAAAUGGUUUUAAACGACCCGUCUUGAAACACGGACCAAGGAGUCCAACAAUUAUGCGAGUGUUUGGGUGGCAAACCCGAGCGCGAAAUGAAAGUGAAUGCAGGAGGGAUCCGCAAGGAGCACCUUCGACCGGUCUGGAUUUUUUUGAAAGAUCUGAGUAAGAGCAUAAUUGCUGGGACCCGAAAGAUGGUGAACUAUGCCUGAAUAGGGUGAAGCCAGAGG